UGAACAACCUGCCCGAGCGAGGGGGAUAGCCGGCCCAACGGCCGGGUAAUACCGCAUAUGCUCACAGUGCCUUAUGGCGCAGUGAGGAAACCUUCGGGGCGCUCGGGAGGGGUUCGCGACCUAUCAGCUAGUUGGUGGGGUAAUGGCCUACCAAGGCAACGACGGGUANCUGGUCUAAGAGGAUGGCCAGCCACAGUUGGGACUGCGACACGGCCCAGACCUCCGUACGGGAGCAGNAGGU
RNAcentral lists this ribosomal RNA (241 nucleotides) under uncultured bacterium. RNAcentral describes it as "partial 16S ribosomal RNA". It matches the Rfam family "Bacterial small subunit ribosomal RNA", at positions 118 to 354 of the family's 1533-position model. The record is from RNAcentral.